This is an RNA transcript of Drosophila pseudoobscura, 1202 nucleotides long. RefSeq lists it as uncharacterized. The transcript is spliced from 8 exons. The record is from RefSeq and is a predicted model, not a curated record. Lineage: Eukaryota; Metazoa; Arthropoda; Insecta; Diptera; Drosophilidae.
AGAGAAAGAGAAGGAAGGAAAUGGAAGGAUGGUGACCCUUCAGACGAGGGAAGGACAUCGUGAUGGUACCUGGAAUAUCCGAUCAGUUAUUCCCCCAGUUCGGAUUCCCAGUGGCUUGCAUCAAUACCAAAUAAACAUUAUGCAACGAGAUCAAGACCGAAUAAAUCACUAUAUUAAGCACUAUAUUAAGCACAGAGAAAGGGAAGGAAGGAAAUGGAAGGAUGGUGAUCCUUCAGACGAGGGAAGGACAUCGUGAUGGUACCUGGAAUAUCCGAUCAGUUAUUCCCCCAGUUCGGAUUCCCAGUGGCUUGCAUCAAUACCAAAUAAACAUUAUGCAACGAGAUCAAGACCGAAUAAAUCACUAUAUUAAGCACUAUAUUAAGCACAGAGAAAGGGAAGGAAGGAAAUGGAAGGAUGGUGAUCCUUCAGACGAGGGAAGGACAUCGUGAUGGUACCUGGAAUAUCCGAUCAGUUAUUCCCCCAGUUCGGAUUCCCAGUGGCUUGCAUCAAUACCAAAUAAACAUUAUGCAACGAGAUCAAGACCGAAUAAAUCACUAUAUUAAGCACUAUAUUAAGCACAGAGAAAGGGAAGGAAGGAAAUGGAAGGAUGGUGAUCCUUCAGACGAAGGAAGGACAUCGUGAUGGUACCUGGAAUAUCCGAUCAGUUAUUCCCUCAGUUCGGAUUCCCAGUGGCUUGCAUCAAUACCAAAUAAACAUUAUGCAACGAGAUCAAGACCGAAUAAAUCACUAUAUUAAGCACUAUAUUAAGCACAGAGAAAGGGAAGGAAGGAAAUGGAAGGAUGGUGAUCCUUCAGACGAGGGAAGGACAUCGUGAUGGUACCUGGAAUAUCCGAUCAGUUAUUCCCUCAGUUCGGAUAUACAGUGGCUCGCAUCAAUAUUAAUAAUCACCAUAUUAAGCACUAUAUUAAGCACAGAGAAAGAGAAGGAAGGAAAUGGAAGGAUGGUGACCCUUCAGACGAGGGAAGGACAUCGUGAUGGUACCUGGAAUAUCCGAUCAGUUAUUCCCCCAGUUCGGAUUCCCAGUGGCUUGCAUCAAUACCAAAAAAACAUUAUGCAACGAGAUCAAAACCGAAUAAAUCACUAUAUUAAGCACUAUAUUAAGCACAGAGAAAGGGAAGGAAGGAAAUGGAAGGAUGGUGAUCCUUCACACGAAGGAAGGACAUCGUGAUGGUACCUGGAAU